GCCCCGAAACCUCGGCUGCCAGGCGGGAGGGCUGUGUCACAGGAGGGGUGCGUGAUGGGUCUCAGCCCCUCCGGCUGUCUGCACAGCUCGCCACUCUCCACGUAGACGAGACAACUCGUGGGUCCGGUCGGCUCCGUCCUUCACGCCCCAGGGAAUCAGGUCACUUGUUGGAAAGAAAGUCUGGAGCUGAACCGCCAAGCUGAACCCCCCCCCCCACCCGGUGUGCGGGGCUCCCUCUCCAGUCCCCUGGAUGCUUAGAAAAGCUUCAGAAGACGGAAUUGGAGUGACCAUGUGCACACGCAGGUGUGUCAGUGCAGAAGACCGGAGGGUGCAAGCGGAGGGUGGCUCACCGUGAUGCUGCACACAUGUGCCAGCGUUCCUGCUCCCAUGCAAGCCAGACCUUCCCCUUAGCCUUCCCGUGUGUCCCAGGACAGACAGGUUUCAUCCUACUGAAGGUAAUCCUGUUGCAAAAUAUUAAAACCAAGCACCAAAGCUCGCCAUCUCCACACCAAGGUUUCUUCUACCUUUGCUGCUAAAAGAGGCUGUUAUUAUGCUUAGGAGUGUGACAGACAUCUAAACCCCAGGAAUCCUGAUGUCCAGACUGGAGUUGUGUCCCUGAGGUAUAAACCAGGGGAAAUCAGUGUUUGAGCAUGUUCUUUAAAUUCCCUCCACUAGUCCAUGCCCAGAAAUGGGCACUCCUGGAUGGAUGUGUGCACAUAACCCGAGAGGGUUGAUUUUGGGUGGGUGAAUCUCUUUCUGGACAAGAGUUGUCUCUACAGGACCUCUUUAAGGAGACUACCUGGUGGGCUCAGGUUAGAUUUCUGUGUCUUACGUAGCUAAAAUGUGACCCGAGAGGGAUGUUUGCGUCCCUCAGCAGAGCUUGAGGGGGAAUGUGACGGGAAGCAGGGAUAAAACUCAGCCUGCCAUUUCCAUGUCCAUUCCCUAAGCCAGAGAAAUGGAGCUGGGGAGGAAUCUGAGCCCUGUGGCAAAGCCAACAUCAGCUAAGGACAAAGAAGAGAGAAGUUCAUGGGAAAGUGAGACUGUAACAAAGAAGUAAGCCUGCUUGGCAGUGAAGGUGUUAUUCGGGCUGAGAACUUCAAGGGUCAGAGGUUUUAUCAAUGUUGGAUUAAUAAAAGCACCCGCUAGUGUCCCUCAGUGACUGGGGUCCUCUUCUGUACCUCACUUGCCCUGAUGCUAGUGUUUAUUUAAUCCAGUUAAGCUGUCCCAUGACAAAUUCCUUGCCAGCUUGGCAGAGGUGUUUGGGAGGCCAGGAGCCGACCCUCCCUACUCCUGGAGGGCAGUGCCUUGAUCCCCAUGCCCUCCCAGUGCAGGAAAUGGAGCUGCUCCUGACAUAAGCUACUGCUCAGCAGGGAAACAUGGCCUCUUAACAUUAAUUAUCGUGUACCAAGGUGUUCUUAAAUAAAACAUCCGGAAAGGGUUUCUGAAGGCAAGAUUUGCAGCUCAGCCUGAAUACCCAAGCAAAGGAGAAAUGUGGGACGAGUCUUCUUUGAUCUUCAGUUCAGCCCCAUGGGCGAAACUGGUCUCUCUUCCUGGGCAAAGCAGGAGGGAGAAUGGGCAAUGAAGGGCAUAAUGUUGGCAGAGCUUAGCUGGAGUACGGGCAGGAAUACCCUCACCUCUGGCUGGAAUAUCUCAGCUAUGCCAGGUAGAUAUUAGUCAGCAAGACAGUCUGUGUAAAGUAAGCGUCCAUCUUGGGGAAAGAGUCUCAGAAGAGGCACUAGAAGUCAGCAGCAUGUUAAAAUGCCUCUAGGGCUGGUGUGGAUUGGAGAACUAAUGUACCUGUGCCUCGCAGAUUGCAGAUGUCAACCUCUGCAGCCUGAGCAAAAUACAUAGCCCUCAAAGAUUAAUUCCCGACAUUUAUCGCCUUCUCCCCUGCCCCUCUCUGGGUUGCAGCUUCCCAUCACAGCUCCAUGGAGAGGGCCAGGUCCUUGGCCAGCUUGAACUGGUGUUGAUCGAUCUGCCACACUGAUUUAGACCCCGGUCAGUACACGUGCAGUGUGUGCAGGCAGGCACACAGCUCCAAGGUGCGGCAGCUCUGCCGUCUGUCUCCCUUCUCCCUGGAAAAAUAAAAAUAAAAAUAAAUCACAGCUCUUCUUUGCUCCCUUGUUUCAUGGCCGGAUCUCAUCAGUAGCUCUCUGGGGGUAAUGAGAGAGUCGGCAGAAAAGACGCUUCAAUUUCCUGAAAGGUCAGAUAACAGGGGAUGCCCUUCUUCUCUAAUGGACUGCAAGCCAUGCUGUAGGAGCAGCAGGCUUUAAACUCUCCUUAACUUUGCAGCUCAAGGGAUUAGAAAUUAUGGCUAUUUACUUUCAUGAAAAGCAGCUCCUUUAAAAGAACUGCCGAGGUCCU
Harpia harpyja (harpy eagle) is the source of this 2364-nucleotide long non-coding RNA. RefSeq lists it as uncharacterized. The record is from RefSeq and is a predicted model, not a curated record. Lineage: Eukaryota; Metazoa; Chordata; Aves; Accipitriformes; Accipitridae. The transcript is spliced from 3 exons.